UACGUAGGGUGCGAGCGUUGUCCGGAAUUACUGGGCGUAAAGAGCUCGUAGGUGGUUUGUCGCGUUGUUCGUGAAAACCGGGGGCUUAACCCUCGGCGUGCGGGCGAUACGGGCAGACUUGAGUACUGCAGGGGAGACCGGAAUUCCUGGUGUAGCGGUGAAAUGCGCAGAUAUCAGGAGGAACACCGGUGGCGAAGGCGGAUCUCUGGGCCGAUACUGACGCUGAGGAGCGAAAGCCAGGGGAGCAAACGGG
This 253-nucleotide ribosomal RNA is filed under the name uncultured bacterium. RNAcentral describes it as "partial 16S ribosomal RNA". It matches the Rfam family "Bacterial small subunit ribosomal RNA", at positions 524 to 776 of the family's 1533-position model. The record is from RNAcentral.